GACUUAUACACGGCUGCUGAGACGCGCUGGGUGAUCAGGCGAUUGAGGUCUAUUGACCUGCCGAGGAGCUGGUGUGCACAGGGAAUGAUGGCAGGGAGAGA
Sapajus apella (tufted capuchin) is the source of this 101-nucleotide long non-coding RNA. RefSeq lists it as uncharacterized. The record is from RefSeq and is a predicted model, not a curated record. The transcript has 3 exons. Lineage: Eukaryota; Metazoa; Chordata; Mammalia; Primates; Cebidae.